GCCCUUUUAGCUCAGUGGUCGAGCGUUGGCUUUGGAAGCCACAGGUCGGAGGUUCGAGCCCACCAAGGCACA
RNAcentral lists this transfer RNA (72 nucleotides) under Phytophthora infestans (potato late blight agent). It matches the Rfam family "tRNA". From Rfam's summary of the family: Transfer RNA (tRNA) molecules are approximately 80 nucleotides in length. RNAcentral also lists the same sequence under 1 other name. The record is from Rfam by way of RNAcentral. Lineage: Eukaryota; Oomycota; Peronosporomycetes; Peronosporales; Peronosporaceae.